ACAAGAACGACUCUCAAAAAUGGAUAUCUCGGCUCUCGCAUCGAUGAAGAACGUAGCGAAAUGCGAUACUUGGUGUGAAUUAUAGAAUCCCGUGAACCAUUAAGUCUUUGAACACAAGUUGCGCCCGAAGCCGUUAAGUUGAGGGCACGUCGGCCUGGGUGUCACAC
Molecule: ribosomal RNA, 167 nt
Filed under: Krameria revoluta
Lineage: Eukaryota; Viridiplantae; Streptophyta; Magnoliopsida; Zygophyllales; Krameriaceae
Description: 5.8S ribosomal RNA
Rfam family: 5.8S ribosomal RNA
About the family: 5.8S ribosomal RNA (5.8S rRNA) is a component of the large subunit of the eukaryotic ribosome.
Source: RNAcentral